CUUGCACACUGGAUAUUCCAGCGGCGGACGGGUGAGUAACGCGUGAGCAACCUGCCCUUCAGUGGGGGAUAACACAGGGAAACCUGUGCUAAUACCGCAUAACACAUAUUGAUGGCAUCAUGGAUAUGUCAAAGAUUUAUCGCUGAAGGAUGGGCUCGCGUCCCAUUAGCUUGUUGGCGGGGUAACGGCCCACCAAGGCGACGAUGGGUAGCCGAUUUAAGAGGAUGAUCGGCCACAUUGGAACUGAAACACGGUCCAAACUCC
RNAcentral lists this ribosomal RNA (264 nucleotides) under uncultured bacterium. Its description in RNAcentral is "partial 16S ribosomal RNA". It matches the Rfam family "Bacterial small subunit ribosomal RNA", at positions 75 to 339 of the family's 1533-position model. The record is from RNAcentral.